AGAUGCGAUCAUACCAGCACUGAAUCACCGGAUCCCAUCCGAACUACCUAGCUAAGCGUGUUUGGGCGAGAGUAGUAGUAGGAUGGGUGACCUCUUGGGAAGUCCUCGUGUUGCACCUU
Molecule: ribosomal RNA, 119 nt
Organism: Cicer arietinum (chickpea)
Lineage: Eukaryota; Viridiplantae; Streptophyta; Magnoliopsida; Fabales; Fabaceae
Source: RefSeq, a predicted model, not a curated record